GUGGGGAAUCUUGCACAAUGGGGGCAACCCUGAUGCAGCGACGCCGCGUGAGCGAUGAAGCCCUUCGGGGCGUAAAGCUCUUUCGACCGGAACGAUAAUGACGGUACCGGGAGAAGAAGCUGCGGCUAACUACGUGCCAGCAGCCGCGGUAAUACGUAGGCAGCAAGCGUUGUUCGGAGUUACUGGGCGUAAAGAGUGCGUAGGCGGUUUUCUAAGUUCGGUGUGAAACCUCCCGGCUUAACUGGGAGGGUGCGCCGAAGACUGGGAAGCUGGAGUGUGGGAAAGGCAGGCGGAAUUCCUGGUGUAGCGGUGAAAUGCGUAGAUAUCAGGAGGAACACCGGCGGUGUAGACGGCUUGCUAGACCAUAACUGACGCUGAGGCACGAAAGCGUGGGUAGCAAACA
RNAcentral lists this ribosomal RNA (403 nucleotides) under uncultured bacterium. Its description in RNAcentral is "bacterial SSU rRNA". It matches the Rfam family "Bacterial small subunit ribosomal RNA", at positions 354 to 774 of the family's 1533-position model. The record is from RNAcentral.